UGGCGCUUUGCAAUGGUGAUUUGCAGGAAAACAGUGCAGGAUGCUGUGAUUCGUUUCUUGUGGUCGGAGGUUAUGUUUGAUGCUUAUAUUUAUCAAAGAUUUAAUGCACAUUAUGGAGAAAGUGUUUUGUCACGAAGUGUGUUUGAAUGGGCACAAAAGUUCAAAGAAGAUCGCACAAGUGUUAUGAAAAAACAGCUGGACGCCCGUCCACAUCCACGAUGACAACAUUGAACGUGCUCAUGAACUUAUUCUCUAUGGAAUAGACGAGUGACACUGGAUAAUGUGGCAAAUCAUUUGCAAAUCAGCCACGGCUCUGCUUAUGCAAUAGUGCACGACAGAUUUGGGUUUUAAAAAGUUUGUGCGAGAUGGAUGCCGAAAAAGCUGAUGAAAAGGUGAAGACGACGAUGCAUUCGUGGUUCGCAGCUCAGCCCAAAAAAUUUUUUAAUGAGAAAAUACGAAGGUCCUUCGGCAAAUGGACAAAGUGUAUACAGAAAUCGAGUGAUUAUGUUAAAAAAUGAUGUAUGUCUUUUUUGACAAUUGCUUAAAAUAAAUUCUACACCGACAGAGCGGGUAACUUUUUACUCACCCUCGCUGUUAAUCUAGAGGCUGGAGUACAAAGAAGUGGCACAAUGAUGUGGGCUGAUGACAUUUAUAAUUAUCAAGGAAUCACCCCUACAUUCGCUCAGAAUUUUAAUGAAACUGUCCCUUGGGAAGGAAGAACUGAUACCUUGAUAUCACGGUUUGUACAUCCUAUAUACACGACAAAUUUUAGAACAUUAUAUAACGAAGAACCAGAUCGUCGUGGCCAUGUGAUGUGAAUAAAAGGACUUGCAUCUGAUGAUAUUUUUAUAAUGUUAGAUAACAUAACUAAGCAUCUUCACAGUAAGAUAGGAUGACAUGGUUUACAUGAUCUUAAUGUUGUUCACUUGAGUGAUGAUAUUAUAAGGAAAAGUGUAAUAUCACAGGAUAUUUAUGUUUAGUAACCAGUAAUUCAGAGAUUGGUAUUCAUGGUUACUAUAACGAGGCUGUAGAAACGCACCCUUUCUUCUUUGCAAAUGGUCCUGUAUUUAUGUCUAAGCCGAAACUGGAACCUCUGAAUAAUUUAGAUUUAUUCUUGUUAUUUUCUAAAAUACUUAUCUACAGUAUACCAUAAGGAAUGAUACCGUAUCGCACCUAAUCAAGUGCCUUAAGAAACAUCAACAGGAUAUCACAGUAAUCCCUUAUCGACUGAUAUUUGUAGCCACUACAAUAUCUAUGACACUGGUAGUAAUUAUAAGAACAAUAACGAUGUUCUAUAAGAGGAAAUGAUGAUUAGGAACAAAAACUUACAGGAGAUAUCAUGCGGUGGAUGGAUAAUAUGUAAAAAAUAUUAAGCAGUAUAUGAAUUUUCAUAUUGCGUAGAGAUAACAAAAUGAAUUUUAAAAAAUGUCGACAUGAUUUUGAAAUAUAGUGAAACGUUUAAUUAGUAUCUUAAUAUCUUUAAAUAAUUAUUAUUUUAGAAUCAAUUGUAAUUGUAUCAUACGUACUUUUGAAUUCGUGCAAGAACAUAUGUUAUUUUGAAGUAGUUAUUAUUAGGAAAUUGUUAGACGCGAACAGUAUGCGAAAAGUUAGUAUGUAGUGUAAUAAUUAUCAAUCAAAACACAAGAAUUAAAUUCUUUAGGAAAAAAUUUCCGGAAUUUCUUAUUUACACGAUUAUAAAGAAAUCCAUAAUAAAAAGGAGCUGCUUUCUAAUACUUCUCUUCCUUGUAAUGCCUAUGUUAAUAAUAACGAGGUUCGACUUUUUGUUUUUAGAGGGAUACUGGAAAAUUUGAAAGUACAGUACCAUUGGGAAGAAAAUCACGAUAUUGAAAACGAUAUUUGCAAAUUGAACAAUAUUCCAGAUUUAUUCAUAAUUUCAUACUACGCGAAGAAUAGACUUUCAUAGGUAUAUAAAGGAAAUAUUAAGUAUAGGAAAACUCUUUUUCAUUGUAGGUGACAUAUGCUUCACGGUUGAACGUAUUUUUGAACACAUAUAAAUGAAAAAGUACUCUUAUGGAGAAAAAGAAUUGAUACCUUCGAUUGACAUUAGAUAAUGUAUAUAAACUUAUGAACAAUCACUAUCGGUUUGUAUUUUAGGUGCACACGCAGAUUUGUUGGAGUUCUUAUAAAAUGUACUUCCUGUACGAACGUUUUAUUCUUCCAAAUUUUACGAUACUAUGUCUCAUAUAAUAACUAUAUGGAUUAAACGUAAUAUAAAUGAUCCGAAAAUAGACUCGAACGACAUUAAUUGUCUUUCUAUUUAUACCAAUAUCGAAAAUACAAGUAAAGCUGGAGCAAUAGUAUGCAAGAA
Molecule: long non-coding RNA, 2329 nt
Organism: Bombus huntii
Lineage: Eukaryota; Metazoa; Arthropoda; Insecta; Hymenoptera; Apidae
Exons: 8
Source: RefSeq, a predicted model, not a curated record